Molecule: ribosomal RNA, 253 nt
Filed under: uncultured bacterium
Lineage: Bacteria
Description: partial 16S ribosomal RNA
Rfam family: Bacterial small subunit ribosomal RNA
Source: RNAcentral
UACAGAGGUCCCAAGCGUUGUUCGGAUUCACUGGGCGUAAAGGGUGCGUAGGUGGCGGUGUAAGUUUGAUGUGAAAUCUCCGGGCUCAACCCGGAAAAUGCAUUGAAUACUACAUUGCUGGAGGUUUGGAGGGGGGACUGGAAUUCUUGGUGUAGCAGUGAAAUGCGUAGAUAUCAAGAGGAACACCGGUGGCGAAGGCGGGUCUCUGGGCAGUAACUGACGCUGAGGAGCGAAAGCGUGGGGAGCGAACAGG